CUCAAUAUUCCUAAUAAGCAGGAAGGUUUACGUACAUAGUCUACGCUCAGAAUUUUAAUUUGAAUCGAUCUAUCGUAACGGAUCGUCUCGACUCUUUCUAAAACUUUGAGGAUCCUUUGCGCGCAGCGAUUUCGAUGUCUGUAAAAAUUCCAAACAAACUUGGAAAGCCUUCCGUAUCCACGGAAAUAAUAUUAUUUGACAUGCGUGGAAUGCGAAGAAGACAAUUAUUCGCCCUGGACGAGAUCCGGGUCAUCGAUCGAAUACAAGAGAAUCGACAAACGGAACUCUUUCCAGAAUUUCGCAGCCAACGCACAAGAUCCCGAAUCUCGUCUCGCUACUUACUAUUACGUUUACGUAGAUCGUGACGUUUAUGGUAAGUAAAUAAUAAUUGUGACGGAAGAGCACCAUAGGUCACCUCGCGUAUUCUCGCCAGUUCCACGACACAAAGUCGUCAAAGUCACCGUGCCACAGAAUCAAGAAGACAAUCGGCUCUCAACGAUAUCCGGGUUAUCGAUCAAACGCAAGAGGAUCAGGAAUCGUUUCCGGAACGUUGUAGCCGGAGCACGUGUGCCAAGUAGCUGUUUAUAUUAUACCAUACAUCGUGGAACAUAUAACUGGAAAUAAAUAAUUACGUAAAAAGAUCGGCAAGGAUGGCGCGUCGGUAUGAAUCAGGCUUUAUACGCUAUGGUACAACGGGCAGAGCCUUGAGAGAGCACUCGGCCAACGAGAAAAAGAGAUUUGCAUGCACGCGGAGGCGUGGGUUUCUCGAACCGAGUUCUCUAUAGCCGCCAGCCUCUUCUUAAGUGGAUAAAUUCGAUGCAGUUUCCUUACGCUGGUAUUGGCAUUAGCGUCGGUCUACAGAGUACACCGGCUUGGAUUUGUAUCAUCGUAAAAGUGACGCAACCGGUGAAAGCCGGGACACCAGGAUUCCACGAGGUAAAGUUCAGCUCGAGCGUAUCAGUGUGGGAAUCAGGCGACUUUUCUACGCUUCAACUAUGAGAGGAACGCAUCGAUCAUUCGUUCCUUCGCGCUGUUGCAAGGUGUUCGAUGGAAAACAGAUGCAUGGGAAUCGGAUGCACGAGACGUUACUUUGUGGAUUUUACUUUUGACGAGGAUUGUCUGCCAUUUGUUAGAAAGUUGACUCUGUAAUUAUGGUGUUCUGGAAACCUUAAUGAACUGGAUAUGUCAAGGUUCGUUUAUGAAAGGAGGCAAUUUACGUACUUAAAAGCGACUGAUAUUUAUUUUGUAAAAAGACUCGAUCAAUACGCCAAGAAAAUUAAAACUCGUAUGAGACGUC
Long non-coding RNA from Bombus pyrosoma, 1297 nucleotides. RefSeq lists it as uncharacterized. The record is from RefSeq and is a predicted model, not a curated record. Lineage: Eukaryota; Metazoa; Arthropoda; Insecta; Hymenoptera; Apidae. The transcript is spliced from 2 exons.